AGCAGCCGCGGUAAUUCCAGCUCCAAUAGCGUAUAUUAAAGUUGUUGCAGUUAAAAAGCUCGUAGUUGAAUUUCGGGGUUAGUAGGCUGGUCGUGCCACAGGUAUGUACUGGUCUUACUGAUUCCUCCUUCCUGAUGAACCGUAAUGCCAUUAAUUUGGUGUUGCGGGGAAACUGGACUGUUACUUUGAAAAAAUUAGAGUGUUUAAAGCAGGCUAACGCUUGAAUACAUUAGCAUGGAAUAACGAAAUAGGACGAUCGAUCUUAUUUUGUUGGUUUCUAGGAUUGACGUAAUGAUUAAUAGGGAUAGUUGGGGGCAUUAGUAUUCAAUUGUCAGAGGUGAAAUUCUUGGAUUUUAUUGAAGACUAACUACUGCGAAAGCAUUUGCCAAGGAUGUUUUCAUUAAUCAAGAACGAAAGUUAGGGGAUCGAAGACGAUCAGAUACCGUCGUA
RNAcentral lists this ribosomal RNA (450 nucleotides) under uncultured Glomeromycotina. RNAcentral describes it as "SSU rRNA". It matches the Rfam family "Eukaryotic small subunit ribosomal RNA", at positions 569 to 1022 of the family's 1831-position model. Lineage: Eukaryota; Fungi; Glomeromycota. The record is from RNAcentral.